Molecule: ribosomal RNA, 483 nt
Filed under: Pseudoalteromonas sp. Egg.D8
Lineage: Bacteria; Pseudomonadati; Pseudomonadota; Gammaproteobacteria; Alteromonadales; Pseudoalteromonadaceae
Description: bacterial SSU rRNA
Rfam family: Bacterial small subunit ribosomal RNA
Source: RNAcentral
UCAGAUUGAACGCUGGCGGCAGGCCUAACACAUGCAAGUCGAGCGGUAACAGAAAGUAGCUUGCUACUUUGCUGACGAGCGGCRGACGGGUGAGUAAUGCUUGGGAACAUSCCUUGAGGUGGGGGACAACAGUUGGAAACGACUGCUAAUACCGCAUAAUGUCUACGGACCAAAGGGGGCUUCGGCUCUCGCCUUUAGAUUGSCCCAAGUGGGAUUAGCUAGUUGGUGAGGUAAUGGCUCACCAAGGCGACGAUCCCUAGCUGGUUUGAGAGGAUGAUCAGCCACACUGGGACUGAGACACGGCCCAGACUCCUACGGGAGGCAGCAGUGGGGAAUAUUGCACAAUGGGCGCAAGCCUGAUGCAGCCAUGCCGCGUGUGUGAAGAAGGCCUUCGGGUUGUAAAGCACUUUCAGUCAGGAGGAAAGGUUAGUAGUUAAUACCUGCUAGCUGUGACGUUACUGACAGAAGAAGCACCGGCUAACU